CAAAUGUAACUUGUCAUACAGUAAAACCUCAGAGUUACGAACACCAGAGAUACAAACUGACCAGUCAAUCAGAUCCCUGAUUUGGAACCAAAAGUACACAACUGGGCAGCAGCAGAGACCAAAAAAAAAAGAAAGAAAAAAAGCAUAUAGAAUACGGUAUUGCGUAAAACGUAAACUACUAAAAAAAAAAAAAAAAAAAAAAGGGAAAAGCCGCAUUUUUAUUCCGCAUAGUAAAGUCUCAAAGCUGUAUUAAAUCAAUGUUCACUUGUAAACUUCUGAAAGAACAACCAUAAUGUUUUGUUCAGAGUUACGAACAACUUCCAUUCCCGAGAUGUUUGUAACUCUGAGGUCCUCCUGUAUAUCUAUUUCCCCCUUCUCAGAACAUCAUAAUAAUGCAGACUAAAAGGCAGCAAAUCUAGAAUUUUAUUUUAUUUUUAAACACAAGUAGCACGUGGAGUUCAUUGCCACAAGACAGCACUGAGGCCAAGAUGAGGCCAUAAGAAAAAGUGGCCCAGUAAUGACAGCACUAGCCUGGGAUCUUGGAAAUCACUUACUGACCCAAUCUGUAAUAUCGGAAUAAAUAGCACUUCCCUACCUCACAAGGGUGUUGUCAGGAUAAACAUGCUAGAGGGAC
This is a long non-coding RNA of Chelonia mydas (Green sea turtle), 634 nucleotides long. RefSeq lists it as uncharacterized. Lineage: Eukaryota; Metazoa; Chordata; Testudines; Cheloniidae. The record is from RefSeq and is a predicted model, not a curated record. The transcript has 3 exons.